RNAcentral lists this ribosomal RNA (333 nucleotides) under uncultured bacterium. RNAcentral's name for it is "bacterial SSU rRNA". It matches the Rfam family "Bacterial small subunit ribosomal RNA", at positions 568 to 898 of the family's 1533-position model. The record is from RNAcentral.
UGCGUAGGCGGUUUGGUAAGUCUUGUGUGAAAUCUUCGGGCUCAACUCGAAGUCUGCACGAGAAACUGCCGGGCUUGAGUGUGGGAGAGGUGAGUGGAAUUUCCGGUGUAGCGGUGAAAUGCGUAGAUAUCGGAAGGAACACCUGUGGCGAAAGCGGCUCACUGGACCAUAACUGACGCUGAUGCACGAAAGCUAGGGGAGCAAACAGGAUUAGAUACCCUGGUAGUCCUAGCCCUAAACGAUGAUCGCUUGGUGUGACGGGUACCCAAUCCCGCCGUGCCGCAGCUAACGCGUUAAAGCGAUCCGCCUGGGGAGUACGGUCGCAAGGCUGAA